UACGGAGGGUGCGAGCGUUAAUCGGAAUUACUGGGCGUAAAGCGCGCGUAGGCGGCGACAUAAGUUGGAGGUGAAAUCCCCGGGCUCAACCUGGGAACUGCUUUCAAAACUGUGUGGCUAGAGUAUGGUAGAGGUGAGUGGAAUUUCCUGUGUAGCGGUGAAAUGCGUAGAUAUAGGAAGGAACAUCAGUGGCGAAGGCGACUCACUGGACUAAUACUGACGCUGAGGUGCGAAAGCGUGGGGAGCAAAC
RNAcentral lists this ribosomal RNA (250 nucleotides) under uncultured bacterium. RNAcentral's name for it is "partial 16S ribosomal RNA". It matches the Rfam family "Bacterial small subunit ribosomal RNA", at positions 524 to 773 of the family's 1533-position model. The record is from RNAcentral.